GCAUCUCACUGCUAGCAUGACGGAAUUCUUUUACAUCCUAGAUGAAAAGAUUGGAAUGGGCGGAGACUACGAAUCCGAGGAUGAGAGACAAAGUCGGCAGAGCGGACUUGGAAUAAUAUGAACUAUAGCGCAAAUAUACGGUUUAAUGAGGUUCCACGCGCACGAAGCCAUCCCACUCUUAUCGGAGUAACAAGUGCGUAGUGCGCAGAGGAAGUCUGAUAUCUUUCUGCUCCCCGCGGGCAUGCAGAACACCGCCGACCGCGUGGCAUUUAGAAAGCUGCUGUCAGUGUAAAUCAAAGGCGAUGAACAUCACGGCUAUAGGUAUAGUGCACUCGAUUUUAUUUUCAUUGUCACUCGUCUAACGUUACACAAUACGUACUUGCAAAACAUGCAACCUUUCUCGAACUAAACAGCAGGUAGGCCGUAACACGAGAGUGAUUCUGCUGCGUCGCGUAGCAACGAGCGUGCAAUUGAUGCAGUCGGCUGACGGCAGUUUGAAUCGGCGUUGGUGACAGUGACAGUCAGUUCAACUGCCAACUGAGAAAUGUCAACAAAGAAAUAAAUAAACGGGAUACAUGGGCUAC
Priapulus caudatus is the source of this 584-nucleotide long non-coding RNA. RefSeq lists it as uncharacterized. The transcript is spliced from 2 exons. The record is from RefSeq and is a predicted model, not a curated record. NCBI's taxonomy places the organism in Eukaryota, Metazoa, Priapulida, Priapulimorpha, Priapulimorphida, Priapulidae.